UACGUAGGGUGCAAGCGUUAAUCGGAAUUACUGGGCGUAAAGCGUGCGCAGGCGGUUUUUGUAAGUCUGUCGUGAAAUCCCCCGGGCUCAACCUGGGAAUUGCGAUGGAGACUGCAAGGCUAGAAUCUGGCAGAGGGGGGUAGAAUUCCACGUGUAGCAGUGAAAUGCGUAGAGAUGUGGAGGAACACCGAUGGCGAAGGCAGCCCCCUGGGUCAAGAUUGACGCUCAU
RNAcentral lists this ribosomal RNA (229 nucleotides) under uncultured bacterium. Its description in RNAcentral is "partial 16S ribosomal RNA". It matches the Rfam family "Bacterial small subunit ribosomal RNA", at positions 524 to 750 of the family's 1533-position model. The record is from RNAcentral.